RNAcentral lists this non-coding RNA (235 nucleotides) under Pseudoxanthomonas suwonensis. RNAcentral also lists the same sequence under 1 other name. The record is from RNAcentral. Lineage: Bacteria; Pseudomonadati; Pseudomonadota; Gammaproteobacteria; Lysobacterales; Lysobacteraceae.
AGACUGCGCGCACUUUCGGGUGACCGCGGCAUGGGCCGCGGUUGAAACGGGAAGCCGGUGACGCCGGCGCGGCCGCCAGGCCACGCGGACAUUCCGGCGCUGCCCCCGCAACGGUAAGCAGGACAAGUCCGGGCACACCGCCACUGUGCAAACGCAUGGGAAGGCGCCCGGAUGGAGCAGGCCACGCGCCUGUUCGCCCGCGAGCCCGGAGACCGGCCCGGAAGACGACUGGUUG